RNAcentral lists this ribosomal RNA (496 nucleotides) under uncultured bacterium. RNAcentral's name for it is "partial 16S ribosomal RNA". It matches the Rfam family "Bacterial small subunit ribosomal RNA", at positions 28 to 506 of the family's 1533-position model. The record is from RNAcentral.
GAUGAACGCUGGCGGCGUGCCUAAUACAUGCAAGUCGAGCGAACAGAUGAGGAGCUUGCUCCUCUGACGUUAGCGGCGGACGGGUGAGUAACACGUGGAUAACCUACCUAUAAAACUGGGAUAACUUCGGGAAACCGGAGCUAAUACCGGAUAAUAUAUUGAACCGCAUGGUUCAAUAGUGAAAGACGGUUUUGCUGUCACUUAUAGAUGGAUCCGCGCCGCAUUAGCUAGUUGGUAAGGUAACGGCUUACCAAGGCAACGAUGCGUAGCCGACCUGAGAGGGUGAUCGGCCACACUGGAACUGAGACACGGUCCAGACUCCUACGGGAGGCAGCAGUAGGGAAUCUUCCGCAAUGGGCGAAAGCCUGACGGAGCAACGCCGCGUGAGUGAUGAAGGUCUGCGGAUCGUAAAACUCUGUUAUUAGGGAAGAACAAAUGUGUAAGUAACUAUGCACGUCUUGACGGUACCUAAUCAGAAAGCCACGGCUAACUACGU